This 226-nucleotide ribosomal RNA is filed under the name uncultured bacterium. RNAcentral's name for it is "partial 16S ribosomal RNA". It matches the Rfam family "Bacterial small subunit ribosomal RNA", at positions 29 to 280 of the family's 1533-position model. The record is from RNAcentral.
AACGAACGCUGGCGGCAGGCCUAACACAUGCAAGUCGAGCGCUGUAGCAAUACAGAGCGGCGCACGGGUGAGUAACACGUGGGAACGUGCCCUUCGGUUCGGAAUAACUCAGGGAAACUUUGAGCUAAUACCGGAUACGUCCUUUGGGAGAAAGAUUUAUACGCCGAGGGAGCGGCCCGCGUAGGAUUAGCUAGUUGGUGAGGUAAUGGCUCACCAAGGCUCCGAU